ACGAACGCUGGCGGCGUGCCUAAUACAUGCAAGUAGAACGCUGAAGGAGGAGCUUGCUUCUCCGGAUGAGUUGCGAACGGGUGAGUAACGCGUAGGUAACCUGCCUGGUAGCGGGGGAUAACUAUUGGAAACGAUAGCUAAUACCGCAUAAGAGUAGAUGUCGCAUGACAUUUGCUUAAAAGGUGCAACUGCACCACUACCAGAUGGACCUGCGUCGUAUUAGCUAGUUGGUGAGGUAACGGCUCACCAAGGCAACGAUACAUAGCCGACCUGAGAGGGUGACCGCCACCCUGGGAACGGGACACGGGCCCGGCUUCUUCCGGGAGGAGGCGGAGGGAAAUCUCCGGCAUGGAACGAAAGUUGGACCGACAACCGCGGGGGAGGUAAGGAAGGUUUCGGAUCGUAAAGCUCUGUUGUAAGAGAAGAACGAGUGUGAGAGUGGAAAGUUCACACUGUGACGGUAUCUUACCAGAAAGGGACGGCUAACUACGUG
RNAcentral lists this ribosomal RNA (493 nucleotides) under uncultured bacterium. RNAcentral describes it as "partial 16S ribosomal RNA". It matches the Rfam family "Bacterial small subunit ribosomal RNA", at positions 29 to 507 of the family's 1533-position model. The record is from RNAcentral.